AUUUGAUGUCCUUUUUUUUUUUUUUUUUUUUGUACCAGGGAUUAAACCCAGGCAUGCUUAAUCACUGAGCCAUAGCCCCAGCCCUUUUUAUGUUUGUUUGUUUGAGACAGGGUCUCACUAAGUUGUUUAGGGCCUCGCUAAGUUGCUGAGGCUGGCUUUGAACUUGCAAUCCUCCUGCCUCAGCCUCUUGAGAAGCCGGGAUUGUAGGCAUGCACCACCAUGCCCAACUUUUCAUAUUUUUUGAUAGUAAAUUAUGUAUAGCAAACUAUAAAUUGCCCUAAGGGAAGCCAAUGUCCUGUAUACAUACACAGACUGCACAUUCUGCCCACUGCUUCUUUUCUCUUUGCUUAACUGCAGUGAUCCUUUUUGCUAUAUGUUGUACCAUUGGAGGUUGUUUCUAGAUGUGUGCUAUUAUAAACUUGUAGAGAAUAUCCUGACAUAGAGACCUCUAAACCUAGCCUGUGUUUGCAAUUUGCCUCUCUGUAAUCUCUAGUAACAAACUUCACUGCCUGCCAGCACCAUCCUCGCCAAGGGAGCACAGGGUGAAGGGAGCCUGCUCAAGACACAGUGAAUGAGUGACUAGCCCCAGUGAAGCUCAGGACUCAGGACCUGUUGGCUAGGGUACCAGGUUGCUCCUUUCACUUGGGUUCCAUAUCAGAAAAGGGCUUCACACAGUGCCAGGCAUCUAAUUAGGGGUCAGUAUUAACUGUGACAUCAUGGCAGCCUGUCACUAUGCCUUUCAAUUGCUGCCUUUUCCAUGGCAGAACCAGGAAACCCUGCAGGGACAGUGGAGCUUGCUGUCCCUGCUGAGCAUAAGCCAGCAAUUAGGACCUGGGCGGCCAGGCUAAUGGCCUCCUCAGCCACAGACAGGUGGGUGUGCCUCGCUCAGUACCAGAGAGUGCUCUGAGAGUGUGCUGCUGCCACAAGUAAUUGCUUCCCCUGAAGCUGUUCCUCUGGGUGUUGGUAGUCAUGCCUCGGCACUCCCCUUAGGGAAUCUGAUUAUCCAGCCCAGCUGGAUGGGGAACUAGGAAACAAAAGCCACCUACCAAACAGAAGAAGCAGAACAGCUGCUCCAACUCUUUCCUUGGGAUGAUGUGGCCUCCACAGGCAAGUGGCUUUGGAAGGUGCCUUAUUUCCUGCCCAGAGGCCUGGGCUGCCUCUUAGGCUUGAGGCCCAUAUUUGUAGUACUCCUAUGUGCUUGGGGAGGGUUUCUGAGCUGCCUGGCCUGUGGUAGGUAGACUCCAGAGUCACCAUUUUUUUUUUCAAGUUGUAGAUUGACACAGUAACUUUGUUUGUUUGUUUAUGUGUGCUGAGGAUUGAACCCAGUGCCUCACACAUGCUAGGCAAGUGCUCUACCACUGAGCCACAACCCCUGCCCAGAACCCAGAGUCUUGACUUCAGGUUCACACCUGCUAUGGGCUUUGGCAUAGACCGACUGGUAUGGACCUGGGUCCCAGAUCUGCUGUUUCUUACUCCAUGGCCUUGAACAGCAGGCUCAACUUGCAUGCUCUCUAUCUAAAUCCUACCAGCUUUUAUUUUUAAUUUUUCUUUUGAUAAAAAAAAAAUACACACACAUAAGUUUUAAAAGUCAAACACUAAAUGGUUGCUAACGCAGGUUCUGUUCACCAUCACAAAUUCCCCAGUUCUUGUCCCACUCCAUCCAGUUGUCUAUUUCUUUUCUUUUUUUCUUUUAUUAUAACUGGGGAUUUAACCCAGAAGCAAUUUACCACCGAGCUACAUCCCCAGCCCUUAUUGUUUUUGGGUUUUUUGUUUGUUUGUUUGUUUUGUUUUUUGUUUUUUUAGACAACUUAACAGGGUCUCACUAAGUUGCUUUGGGCCUUGCUAAGUUGAUGAGGCUGGGUUUGGACUUGGCAAUCCUCCUGUCUCAGUCUCCUGAGCCACUGGAAUUAUAGGCGUGCACUACCACACCCACCCUUUAUAUUUCUAAGUCAUUCACAUAUAUUGUCAUUUCUUGCUCUUUCACCUGAAUAUCAUUGCCUUCCUAUGAGGGGAAAAGUGAGUCUAAUAACCACCUUUCCACACCCACUCAUCCUUCCAAGGUUAUGAUUUGGGGGAAAUUGCUAGUCAAUGUUUACAUGCUUUAAACUACUGUAUAUAAACAUUUUUUUUCCUAGUAAACCAAAAGUGGUGGUAUUCUAUUAUUGUGCUAUAAUCCUUUUUUUUUAAUUAAGCUAUAAUUAAAUAUCUCAUCUUAUUCGUUUAGUUUUUUUGUUUGUUUGUUUGUUUUGGUGCUUUACGCUCUUCUUUAUAAAAUCUGGCUAAACACCAUAAAGCUUUUCUCAACAUGACUAAUCCCUCAAAUUGUGGCUUUUGUGUUUUCCCCAGAGGUGUUGCACCAGAAACCCCUCACCCUCCCAUUCACUCUCACCAUCCUGUCCACUGGCCCCCAGAGUGAAGAGACUGAAAAUCAGUGAGGUAGAAAAAUUGAGGCAGAAAUGCAACCCUGGCAGGAAAUGGAGUUAUGGUCAAUGGUCAGCACUUGACCCAAGGAUGCUGUAACUCAGUGUGAAUAGCCUACAUGUAAAUAGGACCACUCAGUGGUUUUAAUUGUGGCUUGGGCCAGGGGUCUCUGACCCUGACCACAGAGGACAGAGAGACAGGUCUCCCUGUUCAUCUUAAGUGACCCUUUCUGGUGAGAUUAGCAAGCCCAUUUCCAUCCCUUAUCCCAGGCAUAUCUAAGAACAAGUUAGGCCAUGAGUCUGGCCUGACAGAUCCAUGCUUUUUUUCCCAUGGCGGCUUUUCCUUAAACAUGCUAAACCAGCCUUACCCAAUUGCUGGGCUGAGCACACCUCCUAGGGCUACCAGCACCUGGCACAUCACAAACAGGGCUGCUUUUGGCCACUAUACCUUGUCUUGUCUCCUCCAUACAGCAGGUAUUAGCUCUGAGCCCAUUUCCUGCAAGUUCCCCACUGCAGGCAACUCUUUUUCCAUUGCUGGUCAGAGGAUGCUAAGGUCAACAGUAAGAUUAAGGUGAUAGCCGGGCUUGGUGGCACAUGCCUGUAAUCCCAAUAGUUCGGGAGGCUGAGGCAGGAGGAUUGUGAGUUCAAAUCCAGCCUCAGCAAUUUAGUGAGACCCUAAGCAACUCAGUGAGACCCUGUCUAUAAAUAAAAUAUUAAAAGGAUGUGACUCAGUGGUUAAGCACACCUGGGAACAAUCCCUGGUACCAAAAAAAAAAGAUUAAGGUGAUGCUGGAGGCCUAGGCCCAAGAGCCCAAUCACCAAAUGUCCACAAAUAAGCAACUCCUGACUUGGUGCAGCACACAUUCUUGAAUGGGACAGAGAGCCUCCUGAGCUGAGAGCUCUUGAAUGGACACCCAUUAUACCUCACACCAGAGAAGCUUGUGCAUGAUUAGAGGCCUCUGAUGACCACCAUUCAGCUCAUAGGGCUUUCUUACCUUGGCAGUUACACAUGACACUGCCAUCCAUGUGUUCCUGCAAGUCACGCCUAAAGGGUGCUCUGCCACUAGGACUACCAGAGGAGCAUAGGAAGAUGGUGCAGGGCACAUGUUCUCUGCCUCAGUCAGUAAGGGAAAAGGCAUGGCAUCAGAGAGAGAAGGAAGAUGCAUAGAUCUCUUCAUAAGGCUACAUGCUUUCUAAACAGACAAUUUACUGGGAUUUAAUCUACAACUCAGAUUCAAUUGGCUAAGUAAGGAAGAAGAAAGUGUGUGGUUGUCAUGGCAACAUCAAAUUGCCCAGGAUCAGGUUUGUCUCUAAGGAGGGGGAAAGGGGGUAGCAAAGCCAAGCCUCCAUCUUCUUGGCAGGGAUGUUAUGGAAAUUGGGGGAGCAGGCUGGUCCCACUUGCAUGAAGUAGAGAGCAUUCUUCCCACCACCCAGAUCAGGGCUGAGGGCCUGAGCCAUGUGGUGUAUUGCAGAGGGGUCUGGCUGGCUCAGGGACCUCACUGUGGGGCCUGGGGACUCUGAUUGCCCAAGCAUGUCAACUUUCAGACAUCCUCUUGCUGAGGGCCAGUUCUUUUCUUGGGGGCUAGCCCCUCCCAGAGCAUCUUGUCCUGCUCCCUAAUCCUAGUUUUCUUAGCAGAACUUUUGCCUGUUGGCCUGGCUGUGGAUGUGGGCACAGCCUGAGACAUCCUCUGAGUCUGUCUGAAGGAUCAAGGGAACUGAAGCCUCAUCCAGAGAGUGCCAAUCAAAGCUGGUGCUGCCAUUCCUAAAUACUCAGUGCUGCUGGCCUGGCUUCUUCCUCCCCACUAAGAAUAAAAUGGAGUCAGCUAGAGAAGUUGCCCCACAUGGGCAACCUCGGCCCAUUCCUAGGUGGCUGUAGAUGGCAGGGGAGAAGGCUGCUCAAAUGGGGAAGACUUUAAGCAAUGGGAAAAUUCCCUGGCCCUAAACCCACUUUAUCCCUAUUUGGCUUCUGAUCAUCCAGUGCUCUUGGCCUCCCAAGACAAGGUCCUAUCUCCUCAGCAGCCUCCAAGUCACUCACUGACCAGCUAAGCCCUGCCCAUUCAUCUCUGUGGACCCUGGGCUUGGCCACAGGAGGGGCUCUACUGACACCUAAUACAUAAGAUGAAUGAAUGAAUGAAUGAAUGGUUAACUUGGGUAGUGAGGACUGGGAAUAGAAGAAUUUUUUUAAAAAAAGGUCAGAUUUGCAGGGGAACCUGGUAGGUUCUCCCCAGGUAGGAAACUGGGGGACCAUAAAUGCCAAAUUGAGAGGGGAGGGGAGGUGUCAGGCUCCCCCUAUCUUCUACCCUCGAUCUAAGACAACUCCCUGACAGAUGUGCCCCUAUCACCUGAUUCCCCUCAGAGAGACAGGGAGCCCGGGGCCCAUUCCCCAGAGCCUAGCUCACCUGGUCUUUGAAGAGGGCUGCCUCUCUAGAACCCAGCAGACCUGAUUGUUUUUUUUUAACACACUCUGUGGGCUCUCCCAUUUGUCCAAU
Molecule: long non-coding RNA, 4909 nt
Filed under: Marmota monax (woodchuck)
Lineage: Eukaryota; Metazoa; Chordata; Mammalia; Rodentia; Sciuridae
Source: RNAcentral